Molecule: long non-coding RNA, 778 nt
Organism: Salmo salar (Atlantic salmon)
Lineage: Eukaryota; Metazoa; Chordata; Actinopteri; Salmoniformes; Salmonidae
Source: RefSeq, a predicted model, not a curated record
GCCCAUUUUAGUCCCUUGCUACGCAAAUGCUCGUUGACUUGUGCAAACAGUUUGGAUGCAAUGACUGAAUAACAUGUAUGUGUACAUUUAUUUUGCAACGCGAGCAGCAUGUCAGUUGUACCGCGGCUGCCAUGGCAUUUCUCUUUUCGUAUUUCCUUGUGACCUGCUAUUGACUGUCAGGCAGUGAGACAGGCUGUUGCUGAGUGAGUGGUGGGGAGGGUCGGAGGUGUGUGUGUGUUGAGAGAGCGCUAAAGUUAUUGGCUGAGUCACGGUGCAUGUACACUAGAUAGCGGUAAAUUGCCGCGUGCCGCUUAUGUGACUCGCUUGUGGGCGUGCUGGCAGCAUAUUCGAUUGUGCGUCAAUAAUUCAACAUAGCAAGUUUGUAUAAAGGUCUGGUUAUUAAAUGGGUACAUAGUUCAAUAGUAAUAUCUUCUAAAACGCUCUGGUGACAAACACACUUUGCUGCCCUGUUUCCAAUUGUCCACAUGGCUUGGAGAACCUACUCAAUUUUCUGUCCUUUGAUAAAGAGACAUACGAAGAGGUCCCAAUGAAGAGCAGUGGUUCUCAGUCCUGGUCCUGGGGACUCAAAGGGGUGCACAUUUUUGUUUUUGCCUUAGCACUGCACAGCUGAGUCAAAUUAUCAACUCAUCAAGCUUCAAGUGAAACCUUGUAACUGGAGAUUCCUCCAAAACGAUUGCCUACAGUUAACAUGUAGGGCACUGCAAGGUUGGGUGACCAGGGCCAUCUGGGACUGCCUCGUGGAGGAAUUCAGGUGUGU